Long non-coding RNA from Mastomys coucha (southern multimammate mouse), 553 nucleotides. RefSeq lists it as uncharacterized. The record is from RefSeq and is a predicted model, not a curated record. NCBI's taxonomy places the organism in Eukaryota, Metazoa, Chordata, Mammalia, Rodentia, Muridae. The transcript has 2 exons.
AACAUUCAACCAACAAGACUCCUGACUAAUAACAAGGUACCAGCUGUAUCUAGGAAGAAGUACAACAACAGAUGUGAAAAGACGCUUCAGAAAUAUUUAUUCUUUCAUUAGUGCUGCCUUCAACACUAGCCGGAAAAGCAUCUCUGCAGUGACUCACAACAUAAGUGUCUACUGAGUGCUCGGCCCUAAAUGGGGUAUCUGGAAGAAUCCCCAGCCCAUAGGUUCAGAGAACAUCACAGAAAAGGACAGAAACAUGUAAAAACCAUAGGAUGAGGAAAUACCAUGAAAUGCUGUCUUCAGGCCAUGACGGCCACUGAACUCUGAAGUCUGUAGAACUGCUAUUGCACAAGAACAAAGUUAACAAAAUCUGGCUUGGCAUUUCAACAGGCACCAGUGACAGGACAACAACAACAAAAAAAAAAAUCAGGGAGGUGUGUGUGCGCUGGGGAUGCUUGGGGGAAGGGAGAAGGAAGAGCUGGGGGACUAUGAUCAAGCAUGGUUGGCACGCAUGAAAUUGGACAAGAAUAAAUGAUUUGCGUUCUUUUUAGUGGCA